Molecule: ribosomal RNA, 971 nt
Filed under: Bathycreadium elongatum
Lineage: Eukaryota; Metazoa; Platyhelminthes; Trematoda; Plagiorchiida; Opecoelidae
Description: partial 28S ribosomal RNA
Rfam family: Eukaryotic large subunit ribosomal RNA
Source: RNAcentral
CACCGAAGCCUGUGGUUAUUUGAUCACCAGGCAAUGUGGUGUUUAGGUCGUUCCGCAGAGGCACUGCUCCACCCUAAGUCCAACAAUGAGUACGGUGUUAUGGACAUGGCCCAUUGAGGGUGAAAGGCCCGUGGGGGUGGAGAUCAGGUGUGCCAGUGCUACUCUGGGGAGACCUUUGAGUCGGGUUGUUUGUGAAUGCAGCCCAAAGCGGGUGGUAGACUCCAUCCAAGGCUAAAUACAACACGAGUCCGAUAGCGAACAAGUACCGUGAGGGAAAGUUGAAAAGUACUCUGAAGAGAGAGUAAACAGUGCGUGAAGCCGCUCAGAGGUAAACGGAUGGAGUUGAACUGUGAGUUCCGAGGGUUCAGCUGGUAACUUUAAUUGAGCUGGGUCAAAUUUGUUGGGCUGUGAGGUAUACGAUUCGUAUGUCCACUCGCUUAGAGUGGGUGCGUGAUUCUCUCUUUUUGAGUUGAUGUGCGCCUCUGUCGCCCCCGAACAUAAUUACCAGUGCACUCCCUCGGGACGGUCACCACGACCGGCAUUAUCGUCUGUCUAUUGCGGUCAAACCGGGCGUGCUUAGUCCUUGUGGCUUUGUGCGUUCGGGAUGGCAGAUAGCUCGUUGGUUUGCUUGCAGACCUCUGGGUGAAAUAGCUGGCCGCAAUCGGAUUGUGCGUUGUGCCGGGGACGGCGGCUUGAGGUGUGCGUGCGUGCUAGUCUGCUGGCGUAUCCGUGUCAGGUUGCUCAGUUGCUCACCUAGUGGGCCAAGCGGCGACUGGGAUGCGUUCAGUGGGCUUUCGCCUGCGAUGCAUCGUAAAAGGGCCGAUAGUCAGUGGUGUUGCGGUAGACUAUCCAUCCGACCCGUCUUGAAACACGGACCAAGGAGAAUAACAUGUGCGCGAGUCAUUGGGCGUAACGAAACCCAAAGGCGCAGUGAAAGUAAAGGUUUGACUUGUUCAGACUGAGGUGUGAUC